UACGGGAGGCAGCAGUGGGGAAUAUUGCACAAUGGGCGAAAGCCUGAUGCAGCUAUGCCGCGUGUAUGAAGAAGGCCUUAGGGUUGUAAAGUACUUUCAUCGGGGAGGAAAAAAACAAAACUAAUAAUUUUAUUUCUUGACGUUACCCGAAAAAGAAGCACCGGCUAACUCCGUGCCAGCAGCCGCGGUAAUACGGAGGGUGCUAGCGUUAAUCAGAAUUACUGGGCGUAAAGAGCACGUAGGUGGUUUUUUUAAGUUCAGAUGUGAAAUCCCUGGGCUUAACCUAGGAACUGCAUUUUGAAACUGAAAUACUAGAGUAUCGUAGAGGGAGGUAGAAUUCUAGGUGUAGCGGUGAAAUGCGUAGAUAUCUGGAGGAAUACCUGUGGCGAAAGCGGCCUCCUAAACGAAUACUGACACUGAGGUGCGAAAGCGUGGGGAGCAAACAGGGAUUAGAUACC
Molecule: ribosomal RNA, 458 nt
Filed under: uncultured bacterium
Lineage: Bacteria
Description: bacterial SSU rRNA
Rfam family: Bacterial small subunit ribosomal RNA
Source: RNAcentral